ACGUUAUUAGUAUAAAGUGUUAUUAUGUUACUUUUCCAAAGUAACGAUCUGGGUAGUCAGAUAGCGUA
Molecule: transfer RNA, 68 nt
Filed under: Rhinebothrium reydai
Lineage: Eukaryota; Metazoa; Platyhelminthes; Cestoda; Rhinebothriidea; Rhinebothriidae
Description: tRNA-Gly
Source: RNAcentral